CUCAGCCAUGGCAGCAUUGGCCACCUUCCUCCUUGGGCCUGAAACCUGGGAGUCCAUCCUGGACGUCGUGCCCUUGCUCGGCCCCACAUCCCAAUGCCCUUCAGGCCCUGUCCUUACUCUCUUGCAGAUCUCUCUCCUGAUCCUCCUCGACUCAGCCACAGCCGCCACCAGCCUCGGGAAGGCAUCUGCAUGGCUGCACCCGGGGGAUGGUUCCAGAACACACAGCAGACUGUAUCAGCCCCUCUUCCCUGGCCCGCAGUUCCGAGGGCAGGUGCCAGGAAGAAUCUGCGAUCAUCCCCAGAGGCCGUGGGAGGCAGGAAGUAAACUCAGGCUUUUGAGGAAAAAACAAACCAAUCAACAAAACCAAACAACAAAACAUCCUGGCCUUCAAUUCUGGUGCCACCUCGUAUCGGUGCUAUUUCUGACACUAUGUCAAAUCUCUUUGGAAUUCAUUUUCCUCAUUUCUGAGAAGGGGCCAAUACUUCCUGCCUCCAAAAAAUUGCUGUGAAAGUUUAGACGAAGCUGUCCGUGCGGUAGAUGGCACAGUCUGAUGACGCUGAGGCACUUCUCCUGUCCGUCCCUUUGAACAGUACUCUGCACUUCUCCCAACCCUCUCUUAGAUCAUUCCUUCCCUCUGUUCAUUCAUUCCACACGUGUCUGUCAUGUGCCUGCUCUGAGCUGGGGACAAUGCUGGGCGCUGGAGUGAAGAACUGGCCAGACUCAGUCUUAUCUCCCCUUGUGGGUGUUACACUUUGGAGGAGGGGAGACACAAAAAGCAAGGAACAAACAAUAUGAUAUCAGGUAGUGUUAAGUGCCAGGGGAAAAAAAAAUCAAGCAGGAUGGACGUGAUGGAGACCAGGAACUCCAUAGAGAGAGUCAUGAGAAAAAGGGUCAAUAAACGAGCCAGAGAAUAAUGAAAAUAAUUUACCGACUAUGGCACAUGCUUGUGAAGGAAGGAAGUGUGGUUGUGUGAAACCACAAGGAGGUUGAGAGGAUUUUUUUUUUUUUUUUGCUUUCUUUAGGGCCCACCUAUGGCACAUGGAAGGUCCCAGGCUAGGGGUUGAAUCAGAGCUGUAGCCACUGGGCCUCCACCACAGCCACAGCAAUGCCAGAUCCAAGCUGCAUCUGGAACCUACACCACAGCUCACGGCAAUGCUGGAUCCUCGACUCACUGAAUGAGGCCAGGGAUCCAACGUGAGUCCUCAUGCAUACUAGUUGGGUUCAUUUCCAUGGCGCCACAACUGGAACUCUGAGAGCGUUAAAUAUUUAAAAUGUCGAGGCUGUGCCUUGUGUGAUGGUAAAUAGCCUACCACCAGUGACCCAUUCUUUCCUCGUUUCUCUUUCCUGUGUCUUCAUUUCUCCCCCUCGGAGGCCCUUCCCACCAACGUUUACUCAAGUCCAAGUCUUUGCUUAAACACACCUUUCUGCUCCAACCCCAGGCUUUCCUCCAUCUCCAAUCCUACCUUACUUCUCUCAGAGAAAACUUCUAAAGAGUUGUCUCCGCUUCCACAAUUUAUUCUCCUCCUCACUUCAGUCUGGCUCCUGCCCCGAGAAGGGUCCCAGAAGCUGCUUUCUCUGAAGUCACCGUGACCUCCAUGGUCACUGAAUCCUUUGCGUUCUCACAUCCUGUCUCUUGGCCACAUUCAAUAUUAUUCUGUCUCCCAGAGUUUCCGUGUGGCUCAGUGGGUUAAGAACCCAAUAUAGUGUCCAUGAGAAUGCAGGUUCGAUCCCUGACCUCCCUCAGUGGGUUAAGGAUCAGGAGUUGCCGCAAGCUUCAGUGUAGGUUGCAGAUGCAUCUCAGAUCUGGCACUGCUGUGGCUGUGGCUGUGGCUGGGGUGUAGGCAGGCAGCUUUGGCUCCGAUUCAACCCCUAGCCUGAGAACUAUAUGCCACAGUUGUGGCGGUUAAAAAAAAAAAAUUAUUCUGUCUCCAGUUCUCAGUACAUCACCACCUCUUCAUGUUUGUUUUUUUCCCACUUGUCUGCUUACUCCUUCUUAGGCUUUUUUUCCUCUUUCUUUCCUUUUUCCUUUUUCGGGCCACACCUGAGGCAUAUGAAAGUGCUUGGUCUAGGGGCUGCGUCCAAGCUACAGGUCUAUGCCAUAGCUGCAGCAAUGCCAGAUCCAAGCCACAUCUGUGAUUUAUGCCACAGCUUCGGCAGCGCCAGAUCCCGGACCCACUGAGUGAGGCCAGGGAUCGAACCCACAUCCUCUUGGACACUAUGCUAGGUUCUUAACCCACUGAGCCACAACAGGAACCCCCCUUCUUUGACUUCUUUGCUGACUUCUCUUCUUUGUCUGGUUCCUUAAAUGUUGGGUGUCCCAAGAACCCAUCUGGGGCCCCUUCUCUCUCUGUACAUUAUCCCUCAGUAAUGGUUCCAGUUUCCCUAAUUUAUGUCCUCAGCCCAGUUUGCUCACCUGGUCUCCUGGCUCAUCUGGUCUCAGUUCAUUCCUGGACACCUCCACCUGGAAGUCCCAUGGGCAUCCUAGACUCAACAGGUCCAGAUUGGAGUUCAGCAUCAUCUACCCCCGCUCCUCCAAUCCUGCUCUUUUGUUUCUCCCAUCCCAGUGGGUUUCACUACCAUCCAGCUCUUGUACAAACCAGAGCCUUGGACUUCACCAGUUCCCCUUGACUCCUCCCCCACCCCCAUAUCUGCUGGUCAUCAGGUCCCGUCUAUUCUCUUGACUAAACUGCUCUCAGAUUUGUCCCUCUCCCAUCAUUUCCUGUGCCCUCUUCCCUAAUCCAGCAUCUCCUGCCUGGACAACCGCAUAGGCUUUUCCUCGUCUCCACCUUUGUUCCCUCUGACCCAUCCUGCACAUAGAAACCAGACGGAUCAUCCUAAAAUUCAAACCUGAUGGUAUUCCCUCUCCUAUUAAAAGCCCUUUAAGACUCUUCAUUGCCUGCAGGAUAAAAGCCAGAUUCCUUUCCUUUGCACCCAGGCCUGCGGGCUUAGUUGCUACUUAUCCUUCUGCCUUCUUCCCUCAUCUGUCCGCUUUCACUCCGUGUUUAGUCACACCAAACUUGGUCCAGGGGCUCUGACUUGCUAAGCUAGCUCUCCUCCCUCACUUGGGACAUCUUCCUUGCUCUUCCUUCUAAUGGAUGCUCUGUUCUCAUCCUUUUCCCAGUUGGCUGAACUGAGGGGUUCUGGCAGAUGAGCCAUUCCAGCUCCUCCUUCUGUAGAUGAGCCCCCUGAAGCCCAGAGAGGAAGAGUGAUUUGCUGAAGGUCACCCAUCAUGUCCAGCGCGCUUCAUACGAAGCAGAACAACCUCCCUUCUCUCCCUCCUUCGGCCACGAUGGGAGGGAGACUUGGCAUUGCCUCAGACCCUCCCCCAAAGAUUCUGCUUCUUUUUGCUGCUGGAAUCAGAAGGAUGAGCCAGUGAUGUUUGACAGUGAGCACGGAUUGCUAUUUUUAAUUGAAAUGAGCAAUACAUAAGAAGAAGGAAAGACCUCCAGAGUGUAACUGCCAAAAUAAGGAUCACCCUACUGGGAUGCUGUGUCCAUAUUCCACUCACUCAGCUCAGAGUGUUUGGAUUCUCCUGGGAAUGGCCUUCAGUGGCAGUUAACAGCAUGAGAAAUUUGCUCUUAUUCUUGUUUUUAUCCUUUAAAAUUACCUUUACAAAAAUGUUAAUAGGAAGCAGCAUUGCCCACGUUGGUCCUUGCCUGAUGGACCAUCCCUGACUCUGAAUAUGCUUUUACUCCUUUAAAAAAUCAUGGAGUUCCCAUUGUGGUGCAGCGGAAACGAAUCUGACUAGGCACCAUGAAGUUGCGGGUUUGAUCCCUGGCCUCGCUCAGUAGGUUAAGGAUCUGGCGUUGCUGUGAGCUGUGGUGUGGGUCGCAGAUGCGGCUUGGAUCUGGCAUUGCUGUGGCUCUGGCGUGGGCCGGCGGCUGCUGCUCCGAUUCGACCCCUGGCCUGGGAACCUCCAUAUGCCAUGGGUGUGGCCCUAAAAAGGACAAAAGACCCCCCCAAAAAAAAUCUGCCUCCAGCCCCCGCCCCCCUGCCCCUGCCUGGAAGGCAAACAUGCUAUCACUGGAGAUAUUGUGGGGACACACUCAGGCUCUUGGGCCUCAGUUUCCCCAUCUGAGUUGGAAGAGGUUGGACUAAAUGGCCUCGAUGAUCGGCGAAUGUUUUAGGAUUCCAAGGCCGCCAGCAUAGGGUUGCUGUUCUUGGCAUACUCUGGACAGCUUAGGUGCCAGAGAAACCCACCCACGGUCCUCAGCCAGCAUAGGGUUGCUGUUCUUGGCAUACUCUGGACAGCUUAGGUGCCAGAGAAACCCACCACGGUCCUCAGCCAGACCUUCAACCACUGGUUCACCUCCCCUCGAAUCACCUCCCCCUGCUCACGCCCCCCCACCCCCUCCACUCCAAUGUGAGUCACCCAGCUGGGGAUGAACGUGCCCUGUGGCCAUGUCCUCCUCCAUCCAUGGGCCCAGAUGGCCCACGCUUUAAGGUCUCUUAUUGAUUCUUGCAUGAUCUCUGAUCAACUAGUUUGGAUUCCCAUUGCUUUUUCUCUAUUGAUCACCUGGGUUAUAGAAGCUCAAAUGACCACUUGAUCCUGCUUCUCCUGUGAUCCAUCCCUUCACAUACUACACCUGCAGAAAAAGAGAUACCGAACCAACACAGCUACACACUCGUAACCCCGAGACGAACCCUAAAUAUCAGGGGCCCCCAAAUAAUAAACCCUUGGAUACUUCCCUUAAUCCUGGACGCUCCCUAAGAAAGACAAUUUUAUCCUUGAUUUUUGCUGUCUCAGAGGAUGCCUUCGUGAUUGUGAACCUCAUGUGAGGAAGUUGCUGUUUUCAUGCCACGAGCAGACGAAUGCAAACCCGGUGAGCUUGGUGACGUGGCAGUUGUUUUUCUUUAAGUAAUUGCUGUGCUUUGUGUUUGGGGAGCCCAUCCUUCCGAAGCUUGACUCCCUAGCGCUCUGCAAGUAAAAUGUUCUUUUCUUCUCU
Molecule: long non-coding RNA, 4946 nt
Filed under: Sus scrofa (pig)
Lineage: Eukaryota; Metazoa; Chordata; Mammalia; Artiodactyla; Suidae
Description: lncRNA (ENSSSCG00060014928.1)
Source: RNAcentral